UACGGAGGUCUCGAGCGUUGCUCGGAUUCACUGGGCGUAAAGGGCGCCUAGGCGGGGCUGCAAGUCGGGUAUGAAAUCCCCUUGGCUCAACCAGGGAACUGUGCCCGAUACUGUGGCUCUAGAGUGCAGCAGAGGAGAGUGGAACUCCUGGUGGAGCGGUGAAAUGCGUAGAUAUCAGGAGGAACGCCGGAGGCGAAAGCGAUUCUCUGGGCUGCUACUGACGCUGACGCGCGAAAGCUAGGGGAGCAAACGGG
Molecule: ribosomal RNA, 254 nt
Filed under: uncultured bacterium
Lineage: Bacteria
Description: partial 16S ribosomal RNA
Rfam family: Bacterial small subunit ribosomal RNA
Source: RNAcentral